Molecule: ribosomal RNA, 506 nt
Filed under: uncultured bacterium
Lineage: Bacteria
Description: partial 16S ribosomal RNA
Rfam family: Bacterial small subunit ribosomal RNA
Source: RNAcentral
AUUGAACGCUGGCGGCAGGCCUAACACAUGCAAGUCGAACGGUAACAGGAAACAGCUUGCUGUUUCGCUGACGAGUGGCGGACGGGUGAGUAAUGUCUGGGAAACUGCCUGAUGGAGGGGGAUAACUGCUGGAAACGGUAGCUAAUACCGCAUAACGUCGCGAGACCAAAGAGGGGGACCUUCGGGCCUCUUGCCAUCGGAUGUGCCCAGAUGGGAUUAGCUAGUAGGUGGGGUAACGGCUCACCUAGGCGACGAUCCCUAGCUGGUCUGAGAGGAUGACCAGCCACACUGGAACUGAGACACGGCCCAGACUCCUACGGGAGGCAGCAGUGGGGAAUAUUGCACAAUGGGCGCAAGCCUGAUGCAGCCAUGUCGCGUGUAUGAAGAAGGCCUUCGGGUUGUAAAGUACUUUCAGCGGGGAGGAAGGGAGUAAAGUUAAUACCUUUGCUCAUUGACGUUACCCGCAGAAGAAGCACCGGCUAACUCCGUGCCAGCCGCCGCCGUAA